This 1062-nucleotide ribosomal RNA is filed under the name Salmonella enterica subsp. enterica serovar Senftenberg. Its description in RNAcentral is "partial 23S ribosomal RNA". It matches the Rfam family "Bacterial large subunit ribosomal RNA", at positions 568 to 1566 of the family's 2925-position model. Lineage: Bacteria; Pseudomonadati; Pseudomonadota; Gammaproteobacteria; Enterobacterales; Enterobacteriaceae. The record is from RNAcentral.
CUCCACAUACGCAUCCUUUGCUGAGGAUACGGUUAACGGAGCGAAAGCGACGUUCAACCUCAAAAGAAGCAGAGGGGGCUUAGUGGUGGGGUGACUGCGUACCUUUUGUAUAAUGGGUCAGCGACUUAUAUUCUGUAGCAAGGUUAACCGAAUAGGGGAGCCGUAGGGAAACCGAGUCUUAAUUGGGCGUUAAGUUGCAGGGUAUAGACCCGAAACCCGGUGAUCUAGCCAUGGGCAGGUUGAAGGUUGGGUAACACUAACUGGAGGACCGAACCGACUAAUGUUGAAAAAUUAGCGGAUGACCUGUGGCUGGGGGUGAAAGGCCAAUCAAACCGGGAGAUAGCUGGUUCUCCCCGAAAGCUAUUUAGGUAGCGCCUCGUGAAUUCAUCUCCGGGGGUAGAGCACUGUUUCGGCUAGGGGGCCAUCCCGGCUUACCAACCCGAUGCAAACUGCGAAUACCGGAGAAUGUUAUCACGGGAGACACACGGCGGGUGCUAACGUCCGUCGUGAAGAGGGAAACAACCCAGACCGCCAGCUAAGGUCCCAAAGUCAUGGUUAAGUGGGAAACGAUGUGGGAAGGCCCAGACAGCCAGGAUGUUGGCUUAGAAGCAGCCAUCAUUUAAAGAAAGCGUAAUAGCUCACUGGUCGAGUCGGCCUGCGCGGAAGAUGUAACGGGGCUAAACCAUGCACCGAAGCUGCGGCAGCGACGCUGAUGCGUUGUUGGGUAGGGGAGCGUUCUGUAAGCCUGUGAAGGUGGCCUGUGAGGGUUGCUGGAGGUAUCAGAAGUGCGAAUGCUGACAUAAGUAACGAUAAAGCGGGUGAAAAGCCCGCUCGCCGGAAGACCAAGGGUUCCUGUCCAACGUUAAUCGGGGCAGGGUGAGUCGACCCCUAAGGCGAGGCCGAAAGGCGUAGUCGAUGGGAAACGGGUUAAUAUUCCCGUACUUGGUGUUACUGCGAAGGGGGGACGGAGAAGGCUAUGUUGGCCGGGCGACGGUUGUCCCGGUUUAAGCGUGUAGGUGUGUGUUCCAGGUAAAUCCGGUUCACUUUAACACUGAGGCGUGA